This 266-nucleotide ribosomal RNA is filed under the name Serratia marcescens. RNAcentral describes it as "partial 23S ribosomal RNA". It matches the Rfam family "Bacterial large subunit ribosomal RNA", at positions 1506 to 1766 of the family's 2925-position model. Lineage: Bacteria; Pseudomonadati; Pseudomonadota; Gammaproteobacteria; Enterobacterales; Yersiniaceae. The record is from RNAcentral.
CCCGGUUUAAGCGUGUAGGGGGUGUGACCUGGUAAAUCCGGUUGCAUAUCAACCCUGAGGCGUGAUGACGAUGCACUACGGUGCAGAAGUAGUUGAUGCCCUGCUUCCAGGAAAAGCCUCUAAGCUCCAGGUAACAUUGAAUCGUACCCCAAACCGACACAGGUGGUCAGGUAGAGAAUACCAAGGCGCUUGAGAGAACUCGGGUGAAGGAACUAGGCAAAAUGGUGCCGUAACUUCGGGAGAAGGCACGCUGGCAUGUAGGUGAA